UCAGAGUAUUUUACCUCUCAGCGUAAUGUGUAGUUAAGUUUUACCAGACACUGGCGUAGUACUAGUAGUGUUAGUGUUCAUAGCACUCAUACCACUGCUACUCCCUGGCUGUGGUGGGGGGGAAGACGAAAACGAUGCAUUAUAACGCGAAUGUGUUGCAAUGGCUGGUUUCGGUGUUUCUGGCAAUGUCGGUUUCACUCCAUACAUCGUAGACACAGUUGAUUCUUCACCAAGUAACGAAUCUGAGCAUCUUGAGCAGUAAACACAGUUAGCAAACGAUGCACAACAUACACAUUCGCCAUCCAUUUCACUUGCGAGAAACGAUCGAACACACAUCGUAUUAUCAUUAAGAAAGUUUUUCAUCGAAUCCUCCACGUAGCUCGACCAUGUAGAAUCAUAUUUCUCGUAAAACAAUGCUGCAAUCGCAUACUUGCCAUCUCUUCCAGCUCGACCUGUCUCCUGUACAUAAUCCAUAGAUGAAGCUGGUAAUCUAUAGUGUACUACUAAACGCACUCCCAUAUAGUUGAUACCGAGUCCAAAUCCCUUGCUAAGCGAUCAUGAUUCGUGUCUUUCCAUUUGCGUUCUCCAAUUGAUCAACUCGCUUGAUGAAUGGGUGCUUUGUUUCUACCAACAAUCCAUGGGUCGGGUUGUCUCGAAUCUGCAAUAGUUCCUGCCACUUAUAGCUUGCACGAAAAAAGUUGACGAAAUAAUCCGAUGGCAGAUAAUGCAAGUUGUCCAUAGUGCGUCCAUAGAUGUAGAGCGCUGUGUUUCGUGUAUGUUCAGCCUGUAAAUCGAAAUAAGAUUCUCUCGUCAUGUCUUUCUCGAUGUUCUUUUUCUUUAAAGUAGUGAGCAAUGUGUCUGUAGUUUUGAAAUCCCAACGGUUUCUGAAUGCAUUGGUAGAUGGCCUUUGAAAAAAUUCGAUACGGUAAAUCUCUUUGCAAUCGUUCGCCAACAAUCACAAACAUGAAAUCCAAGUGUGCAUGCAGCUACUUUCGACCUAUCAGCGGUUGUCACAUACUUCAUCAAUGCUUCUAAUGGUCGAACCAAAACAUA
Schizosaccharomyces pombe (fission yeast) is the source of this 1053-nucleotide non-coding RNA. The record is from the annotation of a GenBank genome assembly. NCBI's taxonomy places the organism in Eukaryota, Fungi, Ascomycota, Schizosaccharomycetes, Schizosaccharomycetales, Schizosaccharomycetaceae.